UCUAAGCGCCAUAGUAAACAAAUGGUCCAGUGUUGCUCUGAUGGUUUAAUUGCAGCAGUUCCAGACAAGCCCAUUCACGAAGGAUCUUCAGUUGACGGGAAGGAGGAGUGAGCCCCCCUCCGGGGAAGGGGCGGCUUGUGGUUAGCCCUGGGGGGAAGUCUUUACCAGGUGAGGCUGAUGCUCUGGGGAGCCGGCUGGAUUUCAGCAGCCAAAGCCCUAGCUGGCUGGAUCAGACUCUCUUUGCCUUCGGACAUCAAGAUGGUGGAUAUUUGAACUGGAAGGAUAAAGAAAGGCCUCUCUGAGGAGGUGGCAUUGGAGCUGGACCUGAAGAUGAAGAAGAUGACAGCUUCACAGACAGCCAGGGGAAGCGAGUCCCAGGCAGGGGGAACAGAAGAUUCAAAGGUCCUGAGUCAAUAGAAUCCAUAAUUUUCAGUUGGGCAUAUGGCAGCCUGGAAUGAGGAUUACGGUUCCCAGCUUCCCUUCCACAUCCUCAGUAUGGCCAUGGGGAAUUUGAGAUGUGAUGACUGGAUCUCAAGCAGCCAUCUUGGACCAUGUGGUGAAUUAAAGAUAGCUGCUGAUUCUUUGGCUGUCCUUCCUUCGAGAGGAAGAGGCUGUUUGGGAAUCUGAAUCUGGGCUGGCC
Molecule: long non-coding RNA, 640 nt
Organism: Equus quagga
Lineage: Eukaryota; Metazoa; Chordata; Mammalia; Perissodactyla; Equidae
Exons: 3
Source: RefSeq, a predicted model, not a curated record